Molecule: non-coding RNA, 1991 nt
Organism: Chiloscyllium plagiosum (whitespotted bambooshark)
Lineage: Eukaryota; Metazoa; Chordata; Chondrichthyes; Orectolobiformes; Hemiscylliidae
Source: RefSeq, a predicted model, not a curated record
AAACUGGUCAUGCCCACAUUAUCCAAAUCUCAGCAUUUCAAAGAGCUAACUGUUGUUGCCUCCUUUCAGUGUGUGCUUCAAUGAUUGUGCUCACAGCUUUCUUCAGGCAGCUCCUACAAGACAACAGAAGCUUAAAAUGUCUGUAUUUCAGCAUUUGGAUUUUGUGAGCAGAAUAAAGAACAGAACCACAGAAGUGAUGUCGUCUUCACAAGCAAAAGAUGCUCCCAGACCUGCAAGGAUUCUCCAGAACUUUCUAUUUUCAGCAUCCUUCAGUGCCUCCCCAAAUGCAUUAUUCAUGUGUGAGUCACAACAGGAACACCAGGAAAUUCCUUCAGGACUCUGCCAAUCAGCAUCUUCAGUGGAAUGUCAGCAAAUACUCUAUUUCUGCUUACUUCCAGGAAUUCAGUAAAUCUUUUGCUUUAAUUACAGCAAACCAAUCAGAGAAAAUCUUACAGAAACUCCCUGCAAAAAUCCCAGCAAACUAUUAAGCUACAGGGAAAAUCAGUGAUUAGCCUCCUCAUGUCUUUAACCAAUAUUAAUCUAUUCAGCAGAAGCCAUCAGCAAUGAGGAGCAAAACUCCAGGCUGAUUUCUCCUUGUUUUCUCUUUGCCAGCAAGCCCAAUGCUUAUGCUAAUUAAGGCAUUCUUGUUCACCCAAUAAACAAUCUUUGUAGCUUUAUUAUAUAUCAUAUCUUGAGAACAAGUUAAAUUAAAAUCACAUUUAUGAAAAUAUUCAUUUUGUUGCAAAUUGAAACUGCAUAUUGCUUAUUAGAGGUUGUACUGUGGGUUUAGGAAUUAAUAUCGUCUUUGUAAUUUAAUGACCAAUCACUUCCAUCUAUUGCUAGGUAAAAUACAAUGUCAUCCACAUUACCCUGACAAUAUUCUUAGACUCCGAGCUAUUGCACAAGCAAGGCAUUUCCAUUUCCCACACCAUCUAGCUUAUGGCCUCUCUGAAUGAGAUUGGCAAAUUAGUGCCAAUUAGUGCCAAAUUAUGGGUAGUUUUGUGCUAUUGACUUAUAUCUACUGGGAACUGUUUGAGUCUGCCGAGUUAAUUUUGCUUCGAGCCCAUAACAACCAUCGCAGAGAGAAGCCUUUUGUCCCAUCUGUUUGGGCUGAACUUGAUCUCCACUCCCAGAAGUAAAAGGAAGGCAUUGUAUCUCAGUGCACUACCCAGACCCUGUAGAUCAUAAAUUAGAAAAUUCAAGAUGAAGCCAGUGACAUUAAGCAACAACAAAGAGAAAAACAUGUUUCAGAGUUAAAGUUACAGUGCCCAAUUUGUUUGGGCCAUUUGUAGGUCUGUAGUGAGUGAAUAUUAUUCUGAGUUAAGGACUCUUCUAUACAAUAUGUUAACUUCAGCCAAAACAUUUAUAGCGAUCCUAAUCUGUUGUGUUAAUUUUACACACUCAGCUGCUGUUAGAUUUCAUUUGUGAUACAAUGUAAACUUGUCCUGCAUCAGUGAGACUAGUAAACUGUUAGAAUUCUGGAGCACAGAGAAGGGCCACUCGGCCUAUCAAACCCAUACCAGCUCUCUGCAAGAGCGACACAGUCAGCUUCCCUGUCUAUCAGCUGUACCAUUUAAAUGCUUAUGUUCAAAUUCUUAAGCAUUCUCUUUUGAAAAAAUAAAACCAACCUCUCACUUUACUAUUUCAACAAAUUUAACAAUUCCCUCAAAGUUGCUAUUAUUCUGAAAUUGUAGUUUCGUUGGAAAUGCAGUAGAAACUCUGUGUAUGAGUAUCACAGUGAUUUGAUCACUUUACCUAUGCAGUUACAAUGGUAGACAGGGAACUGUUUCAAGGAAAUUAGAGCACCAAACUUAUCUCCUAUUUAACAAUUGAACAAACAGCUAAAAUAGUUUUACCUUUUUUUUAAUCAAAACUUUCAACAAUUUCAAAUGUCACUGUCAGAUCUCCUUUGAUAAGGGAGAAAAAUUUCUCCAGUCUUUCCUUAAUAAAGCCUUCCAUUCCUGCUGACAGAAUGAAAGCCCUGCUUUGGG